Molecule: long non-coding RNA, 1567 nt
Organism: Lolium perenne
Lineage: Eukaryota; Viridiplantae; Streptophyta; Magnoliopsida; Poales; Poaceae
Source: RefSeq, a predicted model, not a curated record
UCUCUCUCCCGUCUCGUACUGUGGAAACCUACCGCUAAAAUAAAAAGUGGAAACCUAGCGCCACCACUAGACCCCCUGGCGGUGUCUCUCCGGCGAAAUCAGCGCAACGACUGGCGGCGCCUCUACUCCCCUCGCCGGUACAAGAUCUCCCUCCACUCUUGAACGCUGGUGCCGUGCUACAAAAAGACUCGAUCCAGCCCGUACUCGUGUGGCGGUGCCCUCUCCCAUGCUGCUGCGGCAGUCUCAGUUCCCCAGUCUCAGUUCCCCCACUGUCCCGCACCUGCCCAUGGCGCAUUGCAGAGUUGCAGCCAACCAACUCCAUGGAGUCAUGGAUCCACAUCGACAAAGGUAUGUUCAUGUACUACUAAGUACUAAUCUAAUCUCAGCUUGUGUCUUUUCUAAACCGAGCCUGCAUCUAUCUAAUUGGUAUGUCUCUGCAGUCACUCGAAUAACCCUUGUAAGAUGUCAGGAAAUGAGUAUUUCUUCCUUUUUCGAUCAAUCAAUCUAGCUAAUAGUUUUAUUCAUAUGGUCUGAACACAAACAGGCAAAAAACGUGAUAUUAUCAUCACUCAACCUAGUGCUAGAUUGGAGCAUACAGUCUGCAGGUAAUCGUGGACAAAUGUGUCAGCUAAUUAAUCCUUGGAACUUGUCAAUUUUAUGAUAUAAGCAUGAACAAACGGGACUUGUUGAUAUCUUGAACUAAUUCAAUGUUGGAUUAGGUGGCCCCAGACUUAUAUUCAAAAUUUUCCAUUUUGGUAUGCAAAUAUAUUCUUGAACUUCUACCAAUGAGAUUUUUGAGUACUUGUCAUUCAUUUGUAGUCCAUACAAAGUACUCACCGAAAGUGAUUUACUUAGACUAAGUGGAUUUACUGGUAUUUUACUAACGUCGAACUAGUUCUAUAUUUUAAGGAAUGCCUAUAUGAAGCUUGUGUAACCUUCCAAUUAAGUGCACCAUGCAGAAAUUGACUACAACUACAGUCUAUUCAACCAAUUGACUACAUCUACAGUCCAUUCAACCAAUUGACUACAUCUACAGUCUAUUCAAGCAGCAUAGUGAUGGCCAUAUCCUUAUCUAGCAUUUUCAGGCUUCAACUAAAAUGCAUCAACGGUUCAAAUUGUACUGCCCAGAAGUGAAGGUUCUUAAGAUGCAUCAUAAGGAUUAGCACGCUACAAGUUUGGAGCCUUAUGUUUUCAAUAGGGUUAUGAUCAUUUCUAGUUACCCCUGAUGAUAAGAGGGUGCAUAUUUUGGCAAAUGUUGAACAAUCACUAACAGUGCUGCAAAUGGUUAGAAAUUUUUAUGGCAGAAUUUUAAUGAAGCGCACUAUGAAAGACCACAAGGGAUGUUGCAGUGAAGACCUGUCGGUGUUGAAGUACAUACAAAACUUUAGAUAGAUUCCAGCUACUUAGAAGUACAUGAGUACUGGCGUUCUUUUAUUCUUCCCCCUCGUUCAUAUGUAUAGAUAGAUUCUAGCUACUUAGAAGGUUAGAAGUACAUGUGUACGGAAGUUCUUUUUAUUCUUGCCCCUCGUUUAUAUGUAUGUACACUUAAGUUGUAAAGUACGAUUUU